This 234-nucleotide unclassified non-coding RNA is filed under the name uncultured fungus. RNAcentral describes it as "sequence contains ITS1, 5.8S rRNA gene". Lineage: Eukaryota; Fungi. The record is from RNAcentral.
CUGAGGUAUGCUCGGUGCCGCGCAAGCGCUCCGGUUACCCGCCCAUAUGUCAUCUGUGCUGGGACCCCGUCCUCCUGGCCUUCGGGUUGGGGGGAAAAGGGAGAACAGGAACAACAUUUCGGUCGAUGUGUUUUGGUUGUACGCCUGAGAAGGAGUACGAUUUUAAACCGCGGCCGGCCGUAAUUUACACUCUUGUGAGAACAUGAAGUCUGAAACAGAUUGAAAAAUUAUACA